RNAcentral lists this RNase P RNA (313 nucleotides) under Flavobacterium cellulosilyticum. RNAcentral describes it as "Bacterial RNase P class A". It matches the Rfam family "Bacterial RNase P class A". Rfam says of the family: Ribonuclease P (RNase P) is a ubiquitous endoribonuclease, found in archaea, bacteria and eukarya as well as chloroplasts and mitochondria. Its best characterised activity is the generation of mature 5'-ends of tRNAs by cleaving the 5'-leader elements of precursor-tRNAs. The record is from Rfam by way of RNAcentral. Lineage: Bacteria; Pseudomonadati; Bacteroidota; Flavobacteriia; Flavobacteriales; Flavobacteriaceae.
AAUGCAGACCACCUUAUCGUCCAUGCGUUGGUAUGGGAGGAAAGUCCGGACACCACAGAGAAGCAUAGCGGGUAACGCCCGUCGGUUCCAAUAUCGGGAUUAGGACAAGUGCAACAGAAAGUAUGUACAGGUAAUGCUGUAGUGAAACCAGGUAAACUCUAUGCGGUGAAAUUUCAAGUAUAUCGGCAUUUAAGGGUUCUCGCCCGUUGUCGAAGGGUAGAAAGAUGGAGUGCGUGAGUAAUUACGUGCCUAGAUAAAUGAUAAGGCUCCGAUUUAUCGGAGACAGAAUCCGGCUUAUAGGUCUGCAUUUUUU